This 2251-nucleotide ribosomal RNA is filed under the name human gut metagenome. Its description in RNAcentral is "bacterial LSU rRNA". It matches the Rfam family "Bacterial large subunit ribosomal RNA", at positions 303 to 2555 of the family's 2925-position model. The record is from RNAcentral.
GGCCGGAAUGACCGAUUCACGCGUAACCAGAAGAAGUGAGCAGGAAAGCUCCGCCAGAGAGGGUGACAGUCCCGUAUUCGAAAGUGAGAGUGACGGUUCCGGUACCUGAGUACUGCGAGACACGUGAAAUCUCGUGGGAAUCCGGGAGGACCAUCUCCUAAGGCUAAAUACUAACUGACGACCGAUAGUGUACCAGUACCGUGAGGGAAAGGUGAAAAGAACCCCUGUCAGGGGAGUGAAAGAGAAUCUGAAACCUGGUGCUUACAAGCUGUGGGAGCCGUACUUGUACGGUGACCAUGUGCCUUUUGCAUAAUGAGUCAGCGAGUUAAUCUGUACAGCAAGGUUAAGCGUAAGUGAAGCCGCAGCGAAAGCGAGUCCGAACAGGGCCACAGUUGUGCGGAUUAGACCCGAAACCGGGUGAUCUAUCCAUGAGCAGGUUGAAGCAAGGGUAAAGCCUUGUGGAGGACCGAACCAGUUCUGGCUGAAAACAGUUUGGAUGACUUGUGGAUAGGGGUGAAAGGCCAAUCAAACCCGGUGAUAGCUGGUUCUCCCCGAAAUAUAUUGAGGUAUAGCCUUGCGGAUUGUCUUAUGGAGGUAAAGCUCUGACAGAACUAGGGGUCCUAUCCGACUACCGAAUUCUUUCAAACUCUGAAUACCAUUAAGAUCUACCGCAGGAGUCAGACGGCGGGUGCUAAGGUUCGUCGUCAAAAGGGCAACAGCCCAGACCGACAGCUAAGGCCUCCAAAUGCAUGCUCAGUGGUUAAGGUGGUGGCGUUGUGCAGACACCCAGGACGUUGGCUUAGAAGCAGCCAUCGUUUAAAGAAAGCGUAAUAGCUCACUGGUUCAAUGGCGCUGCGCCGAAAAUGUAACGGGGCUAAGCAUGCUGCCGAAGCUUCGGAUUUGUCUCUGACAACUGGUAGGGGAGCGUUCUCUGCGGGCUGAAGCGGAACCGAAAGGUUUCGUGGACUGCAGAGAAGUGAUUAUGCUGACAUGAGUAACGAUAAAAUAUGUGAAAAACAUAUUCGCCGUAAAUCCAAGGUUUCCUGGGUAAAGGUAAUCUUCCCAGGGUUAGUCGGACCCUAAGGCCAGGCUGAAAGGCGUAGCUGAUGGGAAACGGGUUAAUAAUCCUGUACUUGUGCGAUUGUGCGAAGAAGGGACGCAGGAUGGUAGACAGGCCGGUUUUUGGAAUCCGGUGCAAGUGUGUAGGUAUGCUCCGCAGGCAAAUCCGCGGGGAUGAGCCGAGACACGAGUCCGUGGGCGUAAGCCCUGAAGCUGUUGAGCCACGGCUGCCAAGAAAAGCUUCUAAGUUUAGAUCGCGCGAACCGUACCGCAAACCAACUCAGGUGGAUGGGAUGAAUAAUCCAAGGCGCUCGAGAGAACUCUGGCCAAGGAACUCGGCAAAUUGACCCCGUACCUUCGGAAUAAGGGGUGCUCCCCACGGUGAGACAAAUUCCUGUUCAGCCCCGGGGAGCCGCAGAGAAAUGGUGGUGGCGACUGUUUACUAAAAACAUAGGUCUGUGCGAAGUCCUACAGACGACGUAUACGGACUGACGCCUGCCCGGUGCCGGAAGGUUAAAAGGAGGAGUCAGCGCAAGCGAAGCUCCGAUUUGAAGCCCCGGUAAACGGCGGCCGUAACUAUAACGGUCCUAAGGUAGCGAAAUUCCUUGUCGGGCAAGUUCCGACCUGCACGAAUGGCGUAACGAUCUCCACGCUGUCUCGGCCAGAGACUCGGUGAAAUUGAAGUCGCGGUGAAAAUGCCGUGUACCCGCAGAAAGACGGAAAGACCCUGUGCACCUUUACUAUAGCUUGACAUUGGGUUUUGAACCUGCAUGUGUAGGAUAGGUGGGAGGCUGUGAAAGCUGUACGCCAGUAUGGCCGGAGCCACCCGUGAAAUACCACCCUUGUUUGUUCAGGACCCUAACUCGCAGCUGUAAUCCAGCGCGAAGACAGUGUCUGGUGGGUAGUUUGACUGGGGCGGUCGCCUCCUAAAGAGUAACGGAGGCAUGCAAAGGUUCCCUCAGGCUGAUUGGAAACCAGCCGUUGAGUGCAAGCGCAUAAGGGAGCUUGACUGCAAGAGAGACAUCUCGAACAGAUACGAAAGUAGGUGCUAGUGAUCCGGUGGUCCCGAAUGGAAGGGCCAUCGCUCAUUGGAUAAAAGGUACGCCGGGGAUAACAGGCUGAUCGCAUCCAAGAGUUCACAUCGACGAUGCGGUUUGGCACCUCGAUGUCGGCUCAUCACAUCCUGGGGCUG